This 406-nucleotide ribosomal RNA is filed under the name uncultured bacterium. RNAcentral's name for it is "bacterial SSU rRNA". It matches the Rfam family "Bacterial small subunit ribosomal RNA", at positions 356 to 773 of the family's 1533-position model. The record is from RNAcentral.
GGGGAAUAUUGCACAAUGGGCGCAAGCCUGAUGCAGCGACGCCGCGUGGGGGAUGACGGCCUUCGGGUUGUAAACCCCUUUCGCCAGGGACGAAGCGAGAGUGACGGUACCUGGAGAAGAAGCACCGGCCAACUACGUGCCAGCAGCCGCGGUAAUACGUAGGGUGCAAGCGUUGUCCGGAAUUAUUGGGCGUAAAGAGCUCGUAGGCGGUGUGUCACGUCUGCCGUGAAAACCUGCGGCUUAACCGUGGGCGUGCGGUGGAUACGGGCAUCACUUGAGUUCGGUAGGGGAGACUGGAAUUCCUGGUGUAGCGGUGGAAUGCGCAGAUAUCAGGAGGAACACCGGUGGCGAAGGCGGGUCUCUGGGCCGAUACUGACGCUGAGGAGCGAAAGCGUGGGGAGCGAAC